GAGUUUGAUCGUGGCUCAGAUUGAACGCUGGCGGCAGGCCUAACACAUGCAAGUCGAGCGGAUGACGGGAGCUUGCUCCUUGAUUCAGCGGCGGACGGGUGAGUAAUGCCUAGGAAUCUGCCUGGUAGUGGGGGACAACGUUUCGAAAGGAACGCUAAUACCGCAUACGUCCUACGGGAGAAAGCAGGGGACCUUCGGGCCUUGCGCUAUCAGAUGAGCCUAGGUCGGAUUAGCUAGUUGGUGGGGUAAUGGCUCACCAAGGCGACGAUCCGUAACUGGUCUGAGAGGAUGAUCAGUCACACUGGAACUGAGACACGGUCCAGACUCCUACGGGAGGCAGCAGUGGGGGAAUAUUGGACAAUGUGCGAAAGCCUGAUCCAGCCAUGCCGCGUGUGUGAAGAAGGUCUUCGGAUUGUAAAAGCACUUUAAGUUGGGAGGAAGGGCAGUAAGUUAAUACCUUGCUGUUUUGACGUUUACCGACAGAAUAAGCACCGGCUAACUCUGUGCCA
RNAcentral lists this ribosomal RNA (509 nucleotides) under bacterium enrichment culture clone ALO1_GLFRUDD03GTUTT. RNAcentral describes it as "bacterial SSU rRNA". It matches the Rfam family "Bacterial small subunit ribosomal RNA", at positions 9 to 510 of the family's 1533-position model. The record is from RNAcentral.